AGAGUUUGAUCAUGGCUCAGGAUGAACGCUAGCGGCAGGCUUAACACAUGCAAGUCGAGGGGUAACAGGGCUUCGGCCGCUGACGACCGGCAAACGGGUGCGGAACACGUACGCAACAUACCUUUAUCUGGGGCAUAGCCCGGUGAAAACCGGAUUAACUCCCCAUAAGAUUAUAGAGUGGCAUCACUUAGUAAUUAAAAAUUCAUUGGAUAGAGAUUGGCGUGCGUCCUAUUAGCUAGUUGGCGGGGUAAAGGCCCACCAAGGCGACGAUAGGUAGCUGAUGUGAGAGCAUGAUCAGCCACACGGGCACUGAGACACGGGCCCGACUCCUACGGGAGGCAGCAGUGAGGAAUAUUGGUCAAUGGACGCAAGUCUGAACCAGCCAUGCCGCGUGAAGGAUGAAGGCGUUCUGCGUUGUAAACUUCUUUUAUUGGGGAAGAAACCUGAGAUUUCUAUUUCAGCCGACGGUACCCAAGGAAUAAGCACCGGCUAACUCCGUGCCAGCAGCCGCGGUAAUACGGAGGGUGCAAGCGUUAUCCGGAUUUACUGGGUUUAAAGGGUGUGUAGGCGGACUUUUAAGUCAGGGGUGAAAUCCCGAGGCUCAACCUCGGAACUGCCUUUGAUACUAUUGGUCUUGAAUCUUGUUGAGGUGGGCGGAACGGGUCAUGUAGCGGUGAAAUGCAUAGAUAUGACCCGGAAC
RNAcentral lists this ribosomal RNA (700 nucleotides) under uncultured bacterium. Its description in RNAcentral is "bacterial SSU rRNA". It matches the Rfam family "Bacterial small subunit ribosomal RNA", at positions 8 to 707 of the family's 1533-position model. The record is from RNAcentral.